RNAcentral lists this ribosomal RNA (467 nucleotides) under uncultured bacterium. Its description in RNAcentral is "partial 16S ribosomal RNA". It matches the Rfam family "Bacterial small subunit ribosomal RNA", at positions 29 to 507 of the family's 1533-position model. The record is from RNAcentral.
ACGAACGCUGGCGGCGUGCUUAACACAUGCAAGUCGCACGGAAAGGCCCUGCUUUUGUGGGGUGCUCGAGUGGCGAACGGGUGAGUAACACGUGAGUAACCUGCCCUUGACUUUGGGAUAACUUCAGGAAACUGGGGCUAAUACCGGAUAGGAGCUCCUGCUGCAUGGUGGGGGUUGGAAAGUUUCGGCGGUUGGGGAUGGACUCGCGGCUUAUCAGCUUGUUGGUGGGGUAGUGGCUUACCAAGGCUUUGACGGGUAGCCGGCCUGAGAGGGUGACCGGCCACAUUGGGGCUGAGAUACGGCCCAGACUCCUACGGGAGGCAGCAGUGGGGAAUAUUGCACAAUGGGCGGAAGCCUGAUGCAGCAACGCCGCGUGCGGGAUGACGGCCUUCGGGUUGUAAACCGCUUUCGCCUGUGACGAAGCGUGAGUGACGGUAAUGGGUAAAGAAGCACCGGCUAACUACGUG